GACGAACGCUGGCGGCGUGCUUAACACAUGCAAGUCGAACGGUGAAGCGCCUUCCUUUUUGGUGGGUGUGGAUGAGUGGCGAACGGGUGAGUAACACGUGAGUAACCUGCCCCCUUCUUCUGGAUAACCGCAUGAAAGUGUGGCUAAUACGGGAUAUUCUGGGUCUGUCGCAUGAUGGGUCUGGGAAAGAUAUUGUUUCGGUGGGGGAUGGGCUCGCGGCCUAUCAGCUUGUUGGUGGGGUGAUGGCCUACCAAGGCGGUGACGGGUAGCCGGCCUGAGAGGGUGGACGGUCACACUGGGACUGAGGCACGGCCCAGACUCCUACGGGAGGCAGCAGUGGGGAAUAUUGCACAAUGGGCGCAAGCCUGAUGCAGCGACGCCGCGUGAGGGAUGGAGGCCUUCGGGUUGUGAACCUCUUUCGCCAGUGAAGCAGGCCUGUCUCGUUUGUGGGUGGGUUGACGGUAGCUGGAUAAGAAGCGCCGGCUAACUACGUG
RNAcentral lists this ribosomal RNA (494 nucleotides) under uncultured bacterium. RNAcentral's name for it is "partial 16S ribosomal RNA". It matches the Rfam family "Bacterial small subunit ribosomal RNA", at positions 28 to 507 of the family's 1533-position model. The record is from RNAcentral.